CUGGGGCGGUCUCCUCCUAAAGAGUAACGGAGGAGCACGAAGGUUGGCUAAUCCUGGUCGGACAUCAGGAGGUUAGUGUAAUGGCAUAAGCCAGCUUGACUGCGAGCGUGACGGCGCGAGCAGGUGCGAAAGCAGGUCAUAGUGAUCCGGUGGUUCUGAAUGGAAGGGCCAUCGCUCAACGGAUAAAAGGUACUCCGGGGAUAACAGGCUGAUACCGCCCAAGAGUUCAUAUCGACGGCGGUGUUUGGCACCUCGAUGUCGGCUCAUCACAUCCUGGGGCUGAAGUAGGUCCCAAGGGUAUGGCUGUUCGCCAUUUAAAGUGGUACGCGAGCUGGGUUUAGAACGUCGUGAGACAGUUCGGUCCCUAUCUGCCGUGGGCGCUGGAGAACUGAGGGGGGCUGCUCCUAGUACGAGAGGACCGGAGUGGACGCAUCACUGGUGUUCGGGUUGUCAUGCCAAUGGCACUGCCCGGUAGCUAAAUGCGGAAGAGAUAAGUGCUGAAAGCAUCUAAGCACGAAACUUGCCCCGAGAUGAGUUCUCCCUGAGACUUUAAGUCUCCUGAAGGAACGUUGAAGACGACGACGUUGAUAGGCCGGGUGUGUAAGCGCAGCGAUGCGUUGAGCUAACCGGUACUAAUGAACCGUGAGGCUUAACCUU
RNAcentral lists this ribosomal RNA (657 nucleotides) under Salmonella enterica. RNAcentral's name for it is "partial 23S ribosomal RNA". It matches the Rfam family "Bacterial large subunit ribosomal RNA", at positions 2274 to 2925 of the family's 2925-position model. Lineage: Bacteria; Pseudomonadati; Pseudomonadota; Gammaproteobacteria; Enterobacterales; Enterobacteriaceae. The record is from RNAcentral.